UGAAAGUUGCUGUAUUUGAAGAAAGCAUAGGCUCUGCCAUAAAAAUUAAUUAGCAAUGCCGGAAGUAGCUUAACUUACUUACAGGUCCAUGCAAGAUUCCUCAUUCUAUCAAUGUGAUACUUAUUCUCAAUAUGUUGCUUCAUGUGUGGGCGACACAACGUGGUGACGUGGAACGCGUGUGGCCGUUUGACUUCACACGUUGAUAUCACGAAGAAAAUUGAUUUUUUACCAUAAAACGAAUCGGCAAUAUAGGAGUUGCAUUUGCAGUUGAUCCCGUCUAAGGGUCUUUUAAUGAAUAAUCUUGGAGUAUUUGGCGGAUGCAGAGUGCUCUUUGACUCUUCGAAAGUACCUAGGAAAAUGCAUCGCAUCUGAUGUUCAACCUUAUAAAUCAGAUACCAUUGAUCUUUCUUUUGCUGGGUGCAAAAGGUGCUAGCUAACAGAAACAGCAAAACAGGGGAAAAGCAAAAAGGGAAAAGAUCCUUGCCGGAUCAUUUUCUUAGGGAUUUCAUAAUUAUGAUCGUUCAUUGUACAUCAUAUGAUCAGAAAUCAUUUUAAAUUUAAAAAUUAAAUUAAAUAGUACCUAACAAAAAUUAACCGCAUGAUGUACGAUGAACGGUUACGAUCACAAAAUCUAUAAGAAAAGGAUCCGGUGAGGAUGACAAAGUGAGAAAGAGCAAAACAGGGGAAAAGAAAAACAAGAAGGCAAAAGCAGUGGAGAAGGAAGCGUUAAUUAGGCGGAGCAGGGAGUCCUCUCUCUUCCCUCUGUUUUCCUUUUCCUGUCCAACUCCAACUCUUUUUCUUGUAUAUAUUUGCUACAAUUGAUUAACUAACAACCUUAGAAUUAAUUAAUUUUCUACAAAGUUGAUUUUUAUUGAGUAAUUUAUAAUUCUGAACAAUUUUUAUCAUAAACUAAAAUUGUGAAUCAAUCAUGAAGUGUUUUUUUUUAUUUUAUUUUAUUUUAUUUUAUUUUAUGAGGAACUCCUCAACUUUGAGGUGCCAAACAUACCUCUUUGCCUUUUUGUCGUACUGUAUACAAAGUGUAGUGAGCCCAAUUUAUUCGGCCUUCCAAAAGGAAAGGCCACUAAUAUUUGACAUAUUUUUUUGUUCAUAUUCAUUAAAAAGUGAGAUGUCUUUUUUUUUUUUUUUUUUUUUUUUGUUGAUAAAAAGAGAGACGUCAACUGUGUGAGUAGUGUCGGUUUUGGUUUCGACCCAAGUCUUUUCCGUUGAAUUAGAUCUAUCCUUAAUAGAAUAGUUCAAUUUAAACUACAGCAGAAAUAAGAUAGGAAAAGGGAGAAAUAUAUUUCCCAAUAGAGAAUGAUGGGAUAUAAACAUAAAUGAUUCCAUUUUUCAGGGGACAUAUCUGACAAUCACACGAAUAACAACCCAAACAUUGUUGAGACAGAGCCAGAGAAUGAUGCCGUAGAAGAAUUGCUCAAUGAAGUUGCAAUUUACAAAGAAAAAGAGACAGUAUUCAAUGGUAAAACAGAACAAAAGUAGUCUAUAUACAAUAAAAUGAAGAAGAAUAAAAAAAUGCGUAGAAGUAUGCUACUUUAAAGGAGCAAUGCUGCUGCAACUGAAGUAUGAAUUGGCAAAUGAUUGUGCAGAUGAUGAUGAUGCAAAGCCUGUGAUUUCUGAGUUGAGGACGGCUGUUCAGCAGGAGCUGACAAUGCAUGAUUCAUUUGUGAUGGAAUGGGGUUUACAGGGUGCUAAAGAGGCCCCUAUCAACUCUGCAGCCGUGAAGUACACAGAUUUCUUAUUGACAACAACCUCUGUCAAAGUUGAAGGAGUCAAAGGUCCUGGUAAAAUCACAACUCCAUUUGAAAGAACCAAAGUUGCUUUAUCACAGAUGCUGGGAUUUUGCAAGAUGUACCAGUGCAAUCUUGGACAGAAGAAUGAUCAAGAAAGUGCUGCAGCCACGGAAGCCUUAGUUAAUGGCAAAACCACUCCAAAGAUGAUGCUACAUGGGAACUAUACCAUGAACUGAAGCUUAAGUUUCCAGAAAUUGUGAACCUUUAAUACAUUCUUGUGUUUGUGUUGUUCCUGGUUUUAUUGCUGG
Molecule: RNA transcript, 2056 nt
Organism: Pyrus x bretschneideri (Chinese white pear)
Lineage: Eukaryota; Viridiplantae; Streptophyta; Magnoliopsida; Rosales; Rosaceae
Gene name: bifunctional TH2 protein, mitochondrial-like
Exons: 4
Source: RefSeq, a predicted model, not a curated record